Dioscorea cayenensis subsp. rotundata (Guinea yam) is the source of this 102-nucleotide small nucleolar RNA. RefSeq annotates it as small nucleolar RNA Z157/R69/R10. Lineage: Eukaryota; Viridiplantae; Streptophyta; Magnoliopsida; Dioscoreales; Dioscoreaceae. The transcript has a single exon. The record is from RefSeq and is a predicted model, not a curated record.
UUUGGUGUGAUGAGGAGGUUUUUUUGGUUGUGGACUAGAGUUUCAGAUCUGGUCUGUGCGCCAGAAGCUGAAGAGUAAUCCCUUGGCUGUCUGAGCACCAAU